GACACCAUUGCAUUCCAUCUAAACAAUGUGAAAGACAUCUGCAGUCUGUUUAUUUCUGCAUAUUGUCUUAUACAAGUACAUAAUGGCACUUAAAAACCAAAAAUAUUUUCUAAACAUGGUUAAAAUGGUCAGCCCCCAGCAUAUUUCCGUGUAAUAGCCGUAGAAAAUGCGUCAACGUUCAUCUUAAUAACGUGAAAAUAGUUGAAACGUGCAAGAUAAAUGGGCGUUAACAAAAAGACGUUUACAAUGUUCUGAAUAUCUUUAAAUUGUCAAAUUCGCGGACAGACAUAUACAAGACGACAUAGUCUUCCAUCUAAACAACCUAAAAAAUUUAACUGAAGGGUCAAAGGGGACAAGCCGUUGACAGAAAGACAUCUAUGCUAAAUCUGGUUAAAAUGGUUACCCAUUUUGGACGACCCAAUUUUUUUGUGAAAUAGACAAAGAAAUUAUCUAAAAACAUGACAAUGUGUCAGAAAAAUAAAAGAUGGAAAGGCCUCUAUGUUUAAAUGUGCUUGAUAGGUGAUUGGAGAUGAUCAGAUGGGCUAACCUAGUCCCACUUUUAAUAUAUUUAUCUAUGGUAGAUUUAGACCGGACCUAUUGGCUAAAAAAGUUCGAUUUACUACGUAUUUACUUGGCUAAAUAAAAACAAGAACAGACAAGCCUUAAAUAGACCUUUAAAAGACGUCUAUGCUCUCUGGAGCCAUGUAACAGUAGCAUUAAGGCACAUUUUCGUUCAUUCCAUUAAAACGUGGAGCUCAUAAACAUGUGAUGCAACAGAAUCUAUUUCGAUGACUCAAAGCAGCCACACUUACUGCAUUUCUUUCAAAGGUGCUUUUGGAAAUAGUCUUUAUUUCAUGUCAUAAGCGAAGCCACAAGGCUAUACAAAGCAAGGAUUUAUUGGAGGGACAUUGCCACGCUGCUGGGGGGAGGGAAUGAACUUCCCACUGUAUUUCUAUUAUCCUUCCUACCUGAAAUGGUCAUGGAGCAAACAUAAACACGGUUACAAUCGACUUCUAACAACGAAAUCUAUUUGCCAGCGUUAUUAUGCUGAUGGGAAUGCUAUUGAGCUGCUGUCUCCCCCGUUCGUGUUUGGUUUCAUAUUCUUCUAGAAGAAUCUGUAAAAGCCACAUUCAGCAAAUGCUCCCCUUUUUAUUCGUCUGGUAGUACAUGGAGGAUUUUCGUUUACAAAAAAUAUAAAUGUAUGUGGCUUAUUGAGUAAGAAGAGGGGAAGAAGAGAAGAAGUGGAAGGCCACUCUCUCAGUUUGUUGCUUAUACACCAAACAAAGAGUCCUGGAAGCCUGUGCGCGAUCAAUCUUACUCGCCAAAAGGUCUGACAGCUCGGUGCCCUCACAACACAUUUAAGGCUUCUAACUCUCCCCCGGAUCAAAUGCAGCCAGGAAGCGCCGAGAAACAGUGGUCACUCAGAUUAGAACCAGUUUCUGCUCGCACUGGUAGUCUGUUUGUCGCUGGAGGGAUUUGUUUUAAGAACAAGGGGAAAAAAAGGAAUCUGGUCACACAAGAUGCGACCAUUCCCUCCCUGAGAACCAAUGAACCCUCCACGAAGACCCGGGUGACAUUUUUAUUAUUAUGGAUGUGCCCACGCAGAUGAGAGAGAAGCGCUGGGAAAGAGAAGGGGGCCCACCCCUUGAGGAGGAGAGAGUAAAUAGAUCAAGUGUUUGAUUUUUUUUUUUUUUUUUUUUUGUAGCUGCGAGUUGUUCUUGUUUAUUGAAUUGAAAUUUGAUUUGGAGCAACGAUCUCGCGUUAUUUUGGUAAUUUCCACUGUUCUCUAUUAAACUAAUUUUUAAUUUGUUUUACUAUUUGAUUAAAUUUAGUCCUUAACUUUAUUUUAUUUUCAGAAGGGGUUUAAGAUGCUAUUUCACUUUUAUAUUUCAUACCAAAGCUGAUAACCCCUUAUUAUUAUUAUUUAUUUUUUGUUUAAAUUACAAAUAGGGUUAUUUGAUAUUGUAAAUGUAUAACUGCUUGCGAAUUUCAAAAUUAAAACUGAUGGAUCUGCUUUUCACUUCAAUUCUUUUAUUUAUUUCAUCGAACUGGAGCAGCAUGGAAUGUUUGACAUUGGGAAGAAGAAAAAAAAUGAUGAUGAGUUUUGUCUUUUAUUCAAUAAAGAAACUGCAAACGUG
Long non-coding RNA from Girardinichthys multiradiatus, 2138 nucleotides. RefSeq lists it as uncharacterized. Lineage: Eukaryota; Metazoa; Chordata; Actinopteri; Cyprinodontiformes; Goodeidae. The record is from RefSeq and is a predicted model, not a curated record. The transcript has 2 exons.